Long non-coding RNA from Neodiprion fabricii, 927 nucleotides. RefSeq lists it as uncharacterized. NCBI's taxonomy places the organism in Eukaryota, Metazoa, Arthropoda, Insecta, Hymenoptera, Diprionidae. The record is from RefSeq and is a predicted model, not a curated record. The transcript is spliced from 2 exons.
ACGGUAUGAGAAAUAUUAAUGGAACGAAAUUCAACGUUUGUUUAAUGAUUGUGAAAAAGAAAAUGUUAAAAAUACAGAGAAAAGUGAAGAUUUUUCCGAGGCUGUGGUUCAUGGAAAGUUUAAUGUUCUUGGCUUUUGGUCGGACCCUUAUCAGAGUUGAAACUUGGGGGUCGUCCGCAACGAACAAGCACUGUACAAUGCUCUACACAUACCCAUAUCUCGCAACUCUGACCUUUCUCCCGUCUUACGCAUGUCAAGCUAUAAGUAUACCCUAUCACGCGGAUCGAAAGCUGUACAUAUUUAAUUACCGAAAGCCAAGAGCCGCUGUCUUAUACAUACAGGUUAGUGUUUGCUUUGCUCACCAGAAAUGAAGGCAGAAUCACCCUUGGCGAAGACAUCAUGAACGAUUUUGCUUUUGGAUGCCUUAGAGUCGACGUAACCCAGGAAUGCUCUUGUUGGAUUAUUCGGCAUGAUUUUACCGAUGAAAACGCCAGGUUCAUCUGAAAACGAACUCGACAAGUUAGAGCAGUUUUUGCUAAUUAGCAACAAAUUUGUUCAGCUUUCAACAUACACAAUUUUAGAAUCAAGAAUUAUUAUUAUAUACGAUUGAAGAAACGUAAUUACUUGGCUCGCAGGUCAUACAAAGUCCCUUAGAAUUCCUGAUUGGCUCGCCAUUUGCAUCUACCUUAAUUAUAGAAAUCGGAUACACUGCUGGAAUGAUUCUUGAGACGAAACCGAUAGCUCCAACGGUGUUGUCGAUGUUUACUGUGGAAAGUAAAUAAUUAUGCUUAUGUUCGCUCUAUUGCAUUAAAUUUCUUGUACGACAAUUUGCCUACCAAUGUUAGCAUUUCCUUCGGUAGCUCCGUAAAAUUCGGCAACUUUUGCUAUUUUGAAACGAUUAACGAAAUCACUCCAAAUUUGCGGCCU